GCAAGUCGAACGAAGCCUUCGGGCUUAGUGGCGGACGGGUGAGUAACACGUGGGAACAUGCCCUUGGGUGCGGAACAACAGUUGGAAACGACUGCUAAUACCGCAUGAUGUCUUCGGACCAAAGAUUUAUCGCCCAAGGAUUGGCCCGCGUUGGAUUAGAUAGUUGGUGGGGUAACGGCCUACCAAGUCUACGAUCCAUAGCUGGUCUUAGAGGAUGAUC
Molecule: ribosomal RNA, 220 nt
Filed under: uncultured bacterium
Lineage: Bacteria
Description: partial 16S ribosomal RNA
Rfam family: Bacterial small subunit ribosomal RNA
Source: RNAcentral